GACGAACGCUGGCGGCAGGCUUAACACAUGCAAGUCGACCGAGCGGCGGACGGGUGAGUAAUGUUUGGGGAUCUGGCUCAUUGAGGGGGAUAACUACGGGAAACUGUAGCUAAUACCGCGUACUAUAGGAUGAACCCAGGUGGGAUUAGGUAGGUGGUGCGGUAAAGGCUCACCAAGCCGACGAUGUCUAGCUGGUCUGAGAGGAAGACGACCCACACUGGGACUGGGACACGGCCCAUAGUCCUACGGGGGGCAGCAGGGGGGAAUAAUGCGUAAUGGGGGAAAGCUGAUGCAGCGAAGCCGCGUGAAGGAAGAGGGCCUUCGGGUUGUAAAGUACUUUCGGUAGUGAGGCGUUACCUACAGAAAAAGCACCGGCUAACUCCGUGCCAGCAGCCGCGGUAAUUC
RNAcentral lists this ribosomal RNA (405 nucleotides) under uncultured bacterium. RNAcentral describes it as "partial 16S ribosomal RNA". It matches the Rfam family "Bacterial small subunit ribosomal RNA", at positions 28 to 526 of the family's 1533-position model. The record is from RNAcentral.